This 282-nucleotide ribosomal RNA is filed under the name uncultured bacterium. Its description in RNAcentral is "partial 16S ribosomal RNA". It matches the Rfam family "Bacterial small subunit ribosomal RNA", at positions 335 to 606 of the family's 1533-position model. The record is from RNAcentral.
ACUCCUACGGGAGGCAGCAGUGGGGAAUAUUGCACAAUGGGCGCAAGCCUGAUGCAGCCAUGCCGCGUGUGUGAAGAAGGCCUUCGGGUUGUAAAGCACUUUCAGCGAGGAGGAAGGUGGUGAGCUUAAAUACGCUCANCAAUUUGACGUUUACUCGCAGAAGAAGCACCGGCUAACUCCGUGCCAGCAGCCGCGGUAAUACGGAGGGUGCAAGCGUUAAUCGGAAUUACUGGGCGUAAAGCGCACGCAGGCGGUUUGUUAAGUCAGAUGUGAAAUCCCGCC